AUACGUAGGGUGCGAGCGUUGUCCGGAAUUACUGGGCGUAAAGAGCUCGUAGGUGGUUUGUCGCGUCGUCUGUGAAAUUCCGGGGCUUAACUCCGGGCGUGCAGGCGAUACGGGCAUAACUUGAGUACUGUAGGGGAGACUGGAAUUCCUGGUGUAGCGGUGAAAUGCGCAGAUAUCAGGAGGAACACCGGUGGCGAAGGGGGGUCUCUGGGCAGUAACUGACGCUGAGGAGCGAAAGCAUGGUUAGCGAACAGGAUUAGAUACCCUGGUAGUCCAUGCCGUAAACGGUGGGCGCUAGGUGUAGGGGUCUUCCACGACUUCUGUGCCGUAGCUAACGCAUUAAGCGCCCCGCCUGGGGAGUACGGCCGCAAGGCUAAAACUCAAAUGAAUUGACGGGG
RNAcentral lists this ribosomal RNA (398 nucleotides) under uncultured bacterium. Its description in RNAcentral is "partial 16S ribosomal RNA". It matches the Rfam family "Bacterial small subunit ribosomal RNA", at positions 523 to 918 of the family's 1533-position model. The record is from RNAcentral.